This 704-nucleotide unclassified non-coding RNA is filed under the name Hevea brasiliensis (rubber tree). Lineage: Eukaryota; Viridiplantae; Streptophyta; Magnoliopsida; Malpighiales; Euphorbiaceae. The record is from RNAcentral.
CAGCAACUAUGUCAUUUUCGGUUAUUGCUGAAGCAACGGAUUCAUCAAUAUCUCCUGAAUUGCCAAUGCAUGUAGUACAUCCAUACCCAACUAUAUGGAAUCCUAGCUGAUUAAGAUACUUUUGCAAGCCACUCUUCGCCAAAUAUUUGGUCACCACCCCAGAGCCUGGAGCAAGACUUGUCUUAAUCCAGGGCUUAACCUCUAGUCCAAGCUCACAAGCUUUCUUAGCCACCAAAGCAGCUCCAAGCAUAACGCUUGGGUUUGAGGUAUUUGUGCAGCUAGUGAUAGCUGCAAUUACAACAUCCCCAUGCCUAAGCUGGGCUGGGGAUCCAUGAAAACUGAACUCUGCAACCUUUACUUGAGCUUCCUUUGGUAUGGCAAAACCCUUGAAUCCAACUCUAUUGUCAAGGCAUGAAUGCCAAUCAGCUUUCAUUUCUUUUAAGGGAACUCGAUCAUGUGGUCUCUUUGGACCUGAUAUGCAUGGUUCGACAUCGGAAAGAUUCAGUUCUAUAUGAGAGGAGUACACUCUUUCAACUUGGGGCUCACUGUAGUCUACAAACAUCUUGUUCGCCCUCAGGUAAGAUUCUAUCAUAGAAAUUGUUUCAUCUUUUCUUCCAGUCAGUUUUAGAUACUGCAGGGUGACAUGAUCCACAGGAAAGAAGCCCAUAGUUGCACCGUACUCAGGGGACAUGUUGGCAAUUGUG